GAAGGUAGCAUAAUCAUUAGUCUUUUAAUUGAAGGCUUGUAUGAAUGGUUGGACAAAAAGCAAGCUGUCUCAAUUAUAAUAAUUGAACUUAACUUUUAAGUGAAAAGGCUUAAAUAAAUUAAGGGGACGAUAAGACCCUAUAAAGCUUGACAAUAAUUUAAUUAUACUAUCAAUUGUUAGUGUAACUUGGUUUUAGUUAAAAUUUGUUGCGUUGGGGCGACGAGAAUAUAAUAGGUAACUGUUCUUAAAUAUUUAAUAACAAAUAUAAUUGAAAAAUAGUGUGAUCCUCUAUUAGCGAUCAAAAGAUUAAGUUACUUUAGGGAUAACAGCGUA
Molecule: ribosomal RNA, 333 nt
Filed under: Penaeus vannamei (Pacific white shrimp)
Lineage: Eukaryota; Metazoa; Arthropoda; Malacostraca; Decapoda; Penaeidae
Description: partial 16S ribosomal RNA
Source: RNAcentral